Limulus polyphemus (Atlantic horseshoe crab) is the source of this 1150-nucleotide long non-coding RNA. RefSeq lists it as uncharacterized. The transcript is spliced from 2 exons. NCBI's taxonomy places the organism in Eukaryota, Metazoa, Arthropoda, Merostomata, Xiphosura, Limulidae. The record is from RefSeq and is a predicted model, not a curated record.
GUACCCUUAAUAUACUAACACUGGUGUAAUUACAGUACCAUUAAUAUACUAACACCGGUGUAAUUACAGUACCAUUAAUAUACUAACACUGGUGUAAUUACAGUACCCUUAAGAUACUAACACUGGUGUAAUCACAGUACCCUUAAGAUACUAACACUGGUGUAAUUACAGUACCCUUAAUAUACUAACACUGGUGUAAUUACAGUACCAUUAAUAUACUAACACUGGUGUAAUUACAGUACCAUUAAGAUACUAACACUGGUGUAAUUACAGUACCAUUAAGAUACUAACACUGGUGUAAUUACAGUACCCUUAAGAUACUAACACUGGUGUAAUUACAGUACUCUUAAAAACCUUAAGAUACUAACAUUGGUAUAUAUAAUCACAGUACCCAUAAGACACUAACAGUGGUAUAAUCACAGUACCCUUCAAAACCUUGAGAAACUAACAUUGGUGUAAUCACAGAACUCUUUAGAGAUUAACAUUAGCUUAAUCAUACUAUCCUUUAAAGUUAACUAACGUUAAUGUUAUCACAACAUGCUUUAGAGAAUAACGCUGAUGUAAUUACAGUACCCUUUGGAGAUUAACAUUGGUGUAAUCACAAGCAGUAUGAUUAAUAUUACAUAAUACUCAUUAGAAAUUAAUGUCGGUGUAAGAGUUUCUUUGACUUGCUCGUUGUUGGAACUGGGCUAGACGCUUGAAGAACUACAGCACAAAGCUUCAGAUGCUCAUUUAAACGUUGCUCUAAGGUCUAAACGAGGCGUGUUUGAUCAUACAUAGUCUCGCUUACAUCAAGUUGUAGUACGGGGACUUACUAUAUGCUUUCUAUCUAUUUAGUUUAAAAAAAAAGUAAAAUUUUCAAAAUUAUGUUGUUUUUCUUAGUUCUCCUGUCGGACACAAAGGAUCCUGAAGUGUGUUACUAGCUUUAGCUUUGUCUCCGAGUUUAACUUGCAAGGUGGACCAGCACGUGCUUACAAGACAUCCUUUGUUUUUUUUAAAUUCUUUAUCAGGUCUUUUCAGUCUCCAAAUACUCACAAGAUCACUUGUCCUAUUGUUAAUAUUGCUCUUGUGUAUUGUAUUAUGAUGUAGUAUAUUAUUUGUUCUAUUGUAAAAUGCGAAAGUGCUAUUAAAUAUCUGUUAUUUGUGUGAA